Molecule: ribosomal RNA, 459 nt
Filed under: uncultured bacterium
Lineage: Bacteria
Description: partial 16S ribosomal RNA
Rfam family: Bacterial small subunit ribosomal RNA
Source: RNAcentral
CCUACGGGAGGCUGCAGUGAGGAAUAUUGGUCAAUGGCCGAGAGGCUGAACCAGUCAAGUCGCGUGAGGGAAGACGGCCCUACGGGUUGUAAACCUCUUUUGCCGGGGAGCAAAGCGAACCACGUGUGGUUCAUUGAGAGUACCCGAAGAAAAAGCAUAGGCUAACUCCGUGCCAGCAGCCGCGGUAAUACGGAGGAUGCGAGCGUUAUCCGGAUUUAUUGGGGUUAAAGGGUGCGCAGGCGGAGGUGCAAGUCAGCGGUCAAAUUGCGGGGCUCAACCCCGUACUGCCGUUGAAACUGCAUCCCUUGAGUGCGCGAGAAGUAAGCGGAAUGCGUGGUGUAACGGUGAAAUGCAUAGAUAUCACGCAGAACUCCGGUGGCGAAGGCAGCAUACCGGCGCGCAACUGACGCUCAUGCACGAAAGCGUGGGUAUCGAACAGGAUUAGAUACCCUGGUAGUC